Molecule: long non-coding RNA, 1191 nt
Organism: Syngnathus acus (greater pipefish)
Lineage: Eukaryota; Metazoa; Chordata; Actinopteri; Syngnathiformes; Syngnathidae
Exons: 3
Source: RefSeq, a predicted model, not a curated record
CAAGGUUGCGCGGUCAUUCUAAUCAAAACUGUAAACCGUGAGGGAGGGGCUCUUGCACGUGCAUUGUAAAACGGCUGUUGAAUUUUUCCGCAGUAUUCUCAAAUGCUGAAAGAUUUCGAGGCCACCGACGCAAACUGCGCCAUCUCUUGGGACCUGGAAGUCCACGUGACGACGUCCGUAUCGCAUUUAGGAAUCUUUCCUGCGCGACGCCUCGGCUCGCACGGAAACGCGAGUGAGCCCUUCUCGACGGGGGAAAAGCCAAGAUUUGUUCCCCCGCCUAAAUCACAUCACGCCAUGGCGACAGGAGCUAAAUAUAGUCUUUAGCCCCUCUCUUGCACACUCACCCUUAUUUGCAUGCAAUCAUUUGUUUGAUUUGUAUCAGCGUGCAGGAUGUGGACAGGAGAGAUCCCGUGGGCCCUGGAGGAUGAGCCAGAACAAAUAAUGCUCUGUUGAACAGGCCGGGAAGAAGAUAGCGAGGACUUAUCUCGCCGCGAGGGGCUCAAGAAAAAGAUGGUUUCAAGUAGCGUCUCUCCACCUACACGCUCCUUCUGCCUGCUCGCCCGCCUCGCAAAUUCACACGCUCACGUUUCCCCCCCUCGUGACAGCCGGCGCCACGUUCCUGGCAAAGCGCUCGCCACUCGUUUAGGGAAACUAGCGAUGUGGAGUCAUGAUCUGGAGCCCGUCCCGCUCGCCGCUCGAGGGGGAGGGAGGCGCUUCCCAGAUGCUUUGCCAGCUUUAAUUAGAUUGCUUUGGAGAGCAGGGCGGGCGACGGAGGCGCACGAGAGAGCCGGAGACGAGGGUCACCAGUCGUCGUCUGAAGCUUUUUGGCCUCGCCGGCGCUCAAUCAACACACACUAAUGCAAAUAGAAAAUAAAACGAUACUGAGGGAGAAAAUAUGCACGACUCGCAGGGGAUUGGGGCGCAGACUCAAAAAGGUUUCAUCCUGAGAGGCCACCAGAUGGCGCUAAAGCAAUGCUGACGUUUGCAACGACAGCAAAUAGGCAGCUGCAGCUCAACUCCCACAAGUCGGCCUGCGUUGUGAUGUGGGCCGGCAUGCGCUUGGAAAAAGACUCCGCAGCACAUACGGAUGGGCCCACUGAGAUUUUGGAAGUCAGGCUUCAGGUGGAGAUCAGUCAAGUCAUCUUUCCUCCCUCAGCGUACUAUAGGAGCUGGUUCUCCUCUCAUCCAUGA